AUGGGAACUAAUGGAAGAAGAAUGAGGCCUGUUAUGGAACUGAUGGAAUUCCUGUGGGAGCAGGUAACUUCAGGCCUUUCAGAGGUGGGCAGAGCUCGGGAACCGGUUUCUACGGACAGAGGACGCGUUGCUAAGGGACGGAAGGGUGGGGGCGGGGCGAGUAACCCGCGGAGCCAGAGAGGGAGGAAAGGAGAUGAGAGUAGGCUUUUGAUAUUGCAGAAGUAUAGUAAUGAUGACACUGAAGAUGUUUCACUGUUUGAUGUGGAAGAGGAGAUGACUAACAGACCAAGAAAAUAGAAAAUCAGACAUCCAGUAGUCAUCGUUUUUCCACUUUUCUUUCGAGUCAGUGCAAUCGUUACCUAUCUUCUCUGUGAGUUGCUCAGCAGCAGCUUUAUUAUCUGUAUGGUGACAAUUAUCUUGUUGUCAUGUUACUUUUUGGCAGUGAAGAAUGUCACAGGUAGACUAAUGAUUGGCCUACCUUGCUGGAAUCACAAGUUGAUGAAGAUGAAAGCCAUUGGGUGUUUGAAUCUAGAAAGGAAUACUUUCAAGAGAAUAAAACUGUGUCCAAGGCUGAAUCAAGAAUCUUUUGGUUGGGACUUACUGCCUGUCCAGUGCUGUGGGUGAUAUUUGCCUUUAGUGCCCUCUUCUUCAGAGUAAAGUGGUUAGUGGUGGUUAUCAUGGGUGUGGUGCUACAAGGUGCCAACCUGUAUGGUUAUAUCAGAUGUAAGGUAGGCAGCAGAAAGAAUUUGACCAGCAUGGCUACUUCAUAUCUUGGAAAGCAGUUUUUAAGACAAAACACUGGAGGUGAUCAGACUUCCUGAAUAGAGAAAGCUUACGUGCUUUGUUACAUUGGGGAACAACUGAAGAGAUUCUUGACUCUGAACCUUUUGGAGCUUGGUCCAUGUUGCCACAAGGAGUGUUGGCUUUGUUUUUCCACUUAAAAACUUUAUUUAUAAAAAGGGAAUGUAGUUUUCAUAUUAGGUUUUUAUUUCCUUUCGAGCAGUUGGGGCUAGGAAGUAUAUGUUGGCACUAGAAACAUUGUCAAGAUUUGUUCAGUGGUGUGGGUAUGCACAUGUUCCGUAGGUAUGCACAACACAGCCAUGUAAUAUCAAUAUAUCCCAAGUUAAUGAAAGUGUUCAUUUACAUAGCUAAUGGAGACCUUUGCAUUUUGAUCCAAAGAACGUAGGAGGAUGUUCUUAGUCUGUCUCAAAGCUCUGUGUGUUUACAUAUUAUUUCUGUAGAUUAUUUUCAGAAGUAAGUUUUGCUUCCAUGGUAAGAGUGAGCACUUUGGCUUAUGUAUAAGUUGGAAAUAAUCGUUAGUUUUUAAUAUGUACCUCAUGGGGAAAUUUCUUAGACAUAUGCAAGCAAAUGAAAAUAAUUAGGGUGAGUGGUAACUAUUUUCUAAAAUUUUAUCUUUAUUUGUAAGAAGUCAUUUACUUAAGGCCCAGUUAAUAUAAAUGGAAUCAUCAUAGUUUAUUUAAGGAAUACACAGAGAUUGCUGCUGUUCUAUUUAUUUUACAGAAAGAAUAGCUAGAUUGAAAGCUCUUCAGUGGAACUUGAACUUAUCAAUCUAUCUUUUACCACUAAAAGAGCAUUAUUUUCAUGUCAUAAUAGGAAUAAUCAUUUACAUACUUGGCAUAAUAAAUGUCUAAAAGAUUUUAUUUUCUGAAUCUAUGUUUUUUCUUGCUAUACUGGGGAUAUUGUAAACUAUGUAUUUGUAUUAAUGGUAUUUCUUAAAGCAAUAGAUGUAACUGUAAACUAAACCAAUAUACAAACUAUUGUGGGCAUCUGUAAAUUCUGUUGUAGGUACUAUAAACUUUGUUGAAAUCUUAAUGAGCAGAUUAUGUUGUGAAUAUAUUUGUACAUUGUUAAAAUAUUUUUAAAGAUUAUUUGUUUAAUUGAAUUAGUGUCUUAUUGGAGUGAUAGCUUUGAAGGUGCAAUACUUUGUAUUUGUAUAAAAUUCCUCUGUUUACCAGGCAAAAA
Molecule: RNA transcript, 1983 nt
Organism: Cebus imitator (Panamanian white-faced capuchin)
Lineage: Eukaryota; Metazoa; Chordata; Mammalia; Primates; Cebidae
Gene name: Golgi apparatus membrane protein TVP23 homolog B-like
Exons: 4
Source: RefSeq, a predicted model, not a curated record